RNAcentral lists this ribosomal RNA (468 nucleotides) under uncultured bacterium. Its description in RNAcentral is "partial 16S ribosomal RNA". It matches the Rfam family "Bacterial small subunit ribosomal RNA", at positions 28 to 507 of the family's 1533-position model. The record is from RNAcentral.
GACGAACGCUGGCGGCGUGCUUAACACAUGCAAGUCGAACGGAAAGGCCCUGCUUUUGUGGGGUGCUCGAGUGGCGAACGGGUGAGUAACACGUGAGUAACCUGCCCUUGACUUUGGGAUAACUUCAGGAAACUGGGGCUAAUACCGGAUAGGAGCUCCUGCUGCAUGGUGGGGGUUGAAAAGUUUCGGCGGUUGGGGAUGGACUCGCGGCUUAUCAGCUUGUUGGUGGGGUAGUGGCUUACCAAGGCUUUGACGGGUAGCCGGCCUGAGAGGGUGACCGGCCACAUUGGGACUGAGAUACGGCCCAGACUCCUACGGGAGGCAGCAGUGGGGAAUAUUGCACAAUGGGCGGAAGCCUGAUGCAGCAACGCCGCGUGCGGGAUGACGGCCUUCGGGUUGUAAACCGCUUUCGCCUGUGACGAAGCGUGAGUGACGGUAAUGAGUAAAGAAGCACCGGCUAACUACGUG